This 233-nucleotide long non-coding RNA is filed under the name Elaeis guineensis (African oil palm). RNAcentral's name for it is "long non-coding RNA (EGUI_LNC007536)". Lineage: Eukaryota; Viridiplantae; Streptophyta; Magnoliopsida; Arecales; Arecaceae. The record is from RNAcentral.
UCCUACUGAUUGGGCCCUGAGUCAAAGCCCUUGAAAAGGGGAUUAGGAAGGCCAAAAAGGUAGCGGUCGAAGCAAAAUGAAAACUCUUAAAAAUGAAGAAGGAAUAUGAGAAGGCUUUGGCAGAAAUAAACUACUUGAGGGCAUAUUCCAAGCAAACUCAUAUGGAACACCUCGUAGAGAGGUGCAAAUUGAUCGAAGAGUGCAAUAGGCUUGGUCAGGUGGCAAGCAAGGCU